GGACCUAUAUUGAUUAGUUUUUGAUAUAAUAUUAAUAUUGGUAGAGUAAAGUAGACUUUUCUACCAAUAGCCUUCCCUAAAAAGGGGUAUUGGAGGAAGUAGAAACAAGGAAAAUGCUACUUGGGAAAACCUAGGGUUAAUCACAAAGCAAGGAGAUGAAGAAUUUCAAGCAUAAAGGCUUCAAGAAAUUCAAGGAUUUGUGGUUACCCAUUCAUAGGAAUCUUGUGACCAAGUUUAAAUUGAGUUCAUCAUCUACUAGCUAAAGGAUUUCAAGGUAACAUAGGAUUUCUCCUUAAAAACCUUUCUUAGGGUGUUGGAAACGUCUUUAACUAGAGGUUGUUGAGUUUAUAUAGGUAUUGAGAUACGUUAUGAACACGUUUAAUUGUGUUAAUGGAAGGAGUAAGUGCUUACUCAAUUGUUAAUCUCUAGUAUAUGAUACCUAAUUAUUAUAGUUAUAUGAAUAUAAUACAUGUGAAAGUAAUGUAGUGAGGUAUGUUGUUAAUUCACUGUAGCUAAGUGAAUUUUCAUGAUAAUGGGUAUUGUAUGGUAUGGUGGGACACUACUUGCAGGGAAAUAUGUCCAAUAUUACCCUAUAGGUAUAAUAUGGUAAGUAGGGGUACUACCUAUAGGACUUAAUUAUGUUCAAUAUUACCCAAAUAUGUUCACCGACAUGGUAUGGUGACGGAGAAAUCCGCCAUGGUCCUUAAGACGCUGUUGUCAGCAUGGUCUAGAUCCUUAAAUUACUCACGUUUGAGGGUUUAGGCAUAACAAAGUUAAGAAGGUAUUAUACGUAUAUGUACAUAUUACUAUGAUUUUUUAAGUGUAAUG
This 828-nucleotide long non-coding RNA is filed under the name Trifolium pratense (red clover). RNAcentral's name for it is "long non-coding RNA (TPRA_LNC014429)". The record is from RNAcentral. Lineage: Eukaryota; Viridiplantae; Streptophyta; Magnoliopsida; Fabales; Fabaceae.